UGGUCAGAGACUGACGCUGAGGUACGAAAGCGUGGGGAGCAAACAGGAUUAGAUACCCUGGUAGUCCACGCCGUAAACGAUGUCAACUAGCUCGUUGGGUGCUCACUAAGACGUGAGUGAACGCAGCUAACGCACUAAGUUGACCGCCUGGGGAGUACGGCCGCAAGGUUAAAACUCAAAUGAAUUGACGGGGGCCCGCACAAGCGGUGGAGCAUGUGGUUUAAUUCGAUGCAACGCGAAGAACCUUACCAUCCCUUGACAUCCAGUGAACUUUCCAGAGAUAGAUUGGUGCCUUCGGGAACACUGAGACAGGUGCUGCAUGGCCGUCGUCAGCUCGUGUUGUGAGAUGUUGGGUUAAGUCCCGCAACGAGCGCAACCCUUAUCCUUAGUUGCCAGCAGGUAAUGGUGGGAACUCCGGGGAGACUGCCGGUGAUAAACCGGAGGAAGGUGGGGAUGACGUCAGGUCAUCAUGGCCCUUACGGGAUGGGCUACACACGUGCUACAAUGGCGCGUACAAAGGGCAGCGAACUUGCGAAGGUAAGCCAAUCUCAUAAAGCGCGUCGUAGUCCGGAUUGGAGUCUGCAACUCGACUCCAUGAAGUCGGAAUCGCUAGUAAUCGUGGAUCAGAAUGCCACGGUGAAUACGUUCCCGGGCCUUGUACACACCGCCCGUCACACCAUGGGAGUGGGUUGCACCAGAAGUAGUUAUGUUUAACCUUCGGGAGACACG
RNAcentral lists this ribosomal RNA (729 nucleotides) under Idiomarina fontislapidosi. RNAcentral describes it as "bacterial SSU rRNA". It matches the Rfam family "Bacterial small subunit ribosomal RNA", at positions 730 to 1453 of the family's 1533-position model. Lineage: Bacteria; Pseudomonadati; Pseudomonadota; Gammaproteobacteria; Alteromonadales; Idiomarinaceae. The record is from RNAcentral.